RNAcentral lists this ribosomal RNA (252 nucleotides) under uncultured bacterium. RNAcentral describes it as "partial 16S ribosomal RNA". It matches the Rfam family "Bacterial small subunit ribosomal RNA", at positions 524 to 776 of the family's 1533-position model. The record is from RNAcentral.
UACGUAGGUCCCGAGCGUUGUCCGGAUUUAUUGGGCGUAAAGCGAGCGCAGGUGGUUUAUUAAGUCUGGUGUAAAAGGCAGUGGCUCAACCAUUGUAUGCAUUGGAAACUGGUAGACUUGAGUGCAGGAGAGGAGAGUGGAAUUCCAUGUGUAGCGGUGAAAUGCGUAGAUAUAUGGAGGAACACCGGUGGCGAAAGCGGCUCUCUGGCCUGUAACUGACACUGAGGCUCGAAAGCGUGGGUAGCGAACAGG